GGCUCGGUAGCUAAGUUGGUAAAGCACUCGUCUAGCAUACAAGAGUCGUGGGUUCGAAUCGCAUCUGAGCAC
This 72-nucleotide transfer RNA is filed under the name Aedes aegypti (yellow fever mosquito). It matches the Rfam family "tRNA". Rfam says of the family: Transfer RNA (tRNA) molecules are approximately 80 nucleotides in length. Lineage: Eukaryota; Metazoa; Arthropoda; Insecta; Diptera; Culicidae. The record is from Rfam by way of RNAcentral.